Molecule: non-coding RNA, 2278 nt
Organism: Lactuca sativa (garden lettuce)
Lineage: Eukaryota; Viridiplantae; Streptophyta; Magnoliopsida; Asterales; Asteraceae
Source: RefSeq, a predicted model, not a curated record
UAUUACUUGGUCAUGGAGUUUGUGAUUUUUUAUUUAUUGGAAUUUGCUACACCUGUACUGCAGUACACAUAUUCUAGAAAGGGUAAAAUAGGAAACACAGAAAAGUAAUCGGGGAUAUUUAGUUGUGGAAGGGUAGUAUUGUCUUUUUUAAAUGUGUUAGCAUCAUGCUCUCACAAAUUUUGUGCUAGACUUUUCUCAGAUCACUCAAACCUCAGCAAAAAAUUACAAGACAAGAACAGGGAAACAUAAAGAGAAUUAGAAGAAGAACGAAUUUCAUUCAAUAGAUAAAUGAUUGACAAGCAAUCUAGCAUUUUGAGAAGCCAAAAUCCUUCUAACAAAAUAGAUACCCACUCACAUGCUUUCCCGGACAUUAAAUACCCAGAGUAACACUCUAUAAAUAAUAAUUACCAAAUUGCCCCUCCAUCCUCAUGGAGCAGUUGGAUCCGUUGUAAUUCAUCUUUUACCCCUCCUUGUGUAAGUAAAAUUUAGAGGAGGUCUCAUUUUGGGAAAUUGAUUCAAUACAACACAGUUUUGUUCUUCUUUCAUCGUUAAUAUUACUUUGUUAUUAUUAGAGUAUAACAGAAUUCUACUCCCAAGGUUUCUUUUCUUGUUAAAUAUGGAAGGGAAAUUUAGGUAAGUUCUUUUUCAAAACUUUGAUAAGCAAUUAGCAAAUUGUUACUUUUGGUUGGUUGGAUGACAAAUGAUUUCUUUUUACAGGUUAUAUGGUUCCUUAAUAUUUCCAACUUGGGGCGUUUCUAAUAAAACAAAUGUUCAUGCAUUUGGUAGUCCUCUUGGAGUUGAUAAAACAUGUAAGCCAAUGAAUCAUUACGACAAGCAGGAAAACAGAACAUCAUUUUCUGUGUACGUAAGCUCGUAUAAUUCUAAAAAUACUUUGCUCAACCAAAUGUAAGUGCAAUGCUAUCACAAACAGUGAACAAAAGUAACUUGCAUUUUCUUAUAUCUUUUGCUUUUUUUUUUUGCAAAGAACUUAUAAAAUCUACACAAAUAUUGCAGAUGAAACCACAAUCACAAACAAAUCCACAGGCGAAUCCGUAUGAUUGAAGUUGUACAUGCUAUAUAAACAAUGAAUAAUCAAAACAACAAAAUAAUGUCACUGCUACUGUGUGUUGAAGGUAUAAAUUUGUUGGGUUAUAAUCCAAGUAUCCGUUCAUGUAUCUGUCAUUACCCUUACCAUCAACAUCACUGAGGACGAUGACUUUGACGGUUGUGGCCACCGAUGGCAAUGCCCAACCCAAUCCCGUAACUGUUAGUGUUCCCAAGCAGGGAAAGUUUGAAGAUCUUGUUAAUGAUUUGAGAAAAAAGUGCUCUUUAGGGAAUCAUCAAACCCUCAUGGUGGCUGAGGUAUACAACAAUCAUGUUAUACGCUUUCUAGGGGACCCCACUGAAUCGUUAUCCUUAAUUAUGGAUGAUGACCGCCUUGUUGCUUAUAAGUUACAAAAAGAUUAUCAUAAAUUUUCUUAUAUUGUUUUUGUUCAUCACCAAAUAGAAAAGCGCGGGAUGCAGGAACAAGGGCUAAACAAUAUACAUUUGAGGUUAGAUUACUAAGAACAAUGGAUAAUCGUGCUUUUGAUGACUCCAAAGUCGCAUCUGCAUCUGCCAUGAAGGUAAAAUGAUUAUAUUGGUGUCUGUCUGGAAAGUAGUAGAUACUCUGAAUCCUAUGGGAUCAAAAUCAAAGACCGCUGAGUACAAAGUUGUCCCAGUAUGUAGACUGGGGGGGCAUUAAGGCUCAAUAUUCCGUAUUACAUGGUCUUUGGAUGGAUCAAAACUGGUGUCCGUCUCGGAUGAUCGCAGUGCUCGUAUCUGGGAAGUUCUUACUGGAAAAAAAGAGUCUGAUGAUGCAACAGAGGUGACUGUUUCUCCUUCCACUGGGCCUGUGCUAUUUAACCACACUGCCAGGGUUUGGGAUUGUUGUUGAUCCUGCUACAUGGCCAAUAAUGAUCUCUAGGGUCUGCUAGAAGGAUUGAAGAUUGCAGUUAAGCGUACAUCAAGACGUCACACCAAGGACUUGAUGACUUUAAGCUAGCAAUGUUUUACUUGAUUUGGACAUGAACCCUAAGAUAUCAUACUUUGGCAUGGCUAGAAGCUUUGGAGGAAACGAGACUCAAGCAAAAGCAAACACACUGAGAGUUGUUGGCACAUAGUAAGCUACAUAAUGCAAUUGUAUAUAAAUUCUGCUUCUCUUAUGUUCAUUUCUUUGAUUACAUUUACUCACUAUUGAAAUAAUUAUUUGUAUUUGACAUAUUAGUGAAAUGAAUUA